UCCAGAGGGAAGCCACUCCUUACUAAAAGGUACAUGGCAGCCCACCUUGAGUUUGCCAAAAAGCACCUGAUAGACUCUCAGACCAUGAGAAACAAAACUGUCUGGUCUGAUGAAUCAAAGAUUUAAGUCUUUGGUCUAACCUU
This is a long non-coding RNA of Thalassophryne amazonica, 143 nucleotides long. RefSeq lists it as uncharacterized. Lineage: Eukaryota; Metazoa; Chordata; Actinopteri; Batrachoidiformes; Batrachoididae. The record is from RefSeq and is a predicted model, not a curated record. The transcript has 3 exons.